This 448-nucleotide ribosomal RNA is filed under the name uncultured bacterium. RNAcentral's name for it is "SSU rRNA". It matches the Rfam family "Bacterial small subunit ribosomal RNA", at positions 26 to 518 of the family's 1533-position model. The record is from RNAcentral.
AGAACGAACGCUGGCGGCAGGCUUAACACAUGCAAGUCGAACGCUCGUAGCAAUACGGGAGUGGCAGACGGGUGAGUAACGCGUGGGAACAUACCCUCCGGUUCGGAAUAGCUCAGGGAAACUUGGAUUAAUACCGGAUACGGCCGAGAGGCGAAAGAUUUAUCGCCGGAGGAUUGGCCCGCGUUCGAUUAGCUAGUUGGUGAGGUAAUGGCUCACCAAGGCGAUGAUCGAUAGCUGGUCUGAGAGGAUGAUCAGCCACAUUGGGACUGAGACACGGCCCAAACUCCUACGGGAGGCAGCAGUGGGGAAUAUUGGACAAUGGGCGCAAGCCUGAUCCAGCCAUGCCGCGUGAGUGAUGAAGGCCUUAGGGUUGUAAAGCUCUUUCGCUCGGGACGAUAAUGACGGUACCGAGAUAAGAAGCCCCGGCUAACUUCGUGCCAGCAGCCGC